UCGUUUUUAAGGUUAGGUCUCAGGGGUCCCUGAGCCACUUUUAUCCACACUAUAAAUACUUGCCGGGAGUUGCAUUGCUACGUUGGCUUUAGAGAAGCGUGUGUUUGAUUUUAGAUUAAGUCAUAUGUAAUCUACGGAGUGAUAAAGUCUAAUCAAAUAAGUAGAGAGGCUCGUGCAAUUGUGUUUUGUUCAUUGCUUGUUUUGAGCGGAGGAGUGGCUUAUCUUUGCGAUAUUGGAUAGUAUUAGGGGAAAGUAGUGUCCAGAAAAUUCUACACGCUUUUAUGACAUAACCAGCCCGACUAACAAAUAUUCUAAUUCAGGAAGUAGGCUUGAAUUGUGUGGUGAAUGCGCAUAUUUGAGAUACAAUCAUAAUAACACCAUUAUGUCCGAGCUGCGUCCAGUGUUAUUAAAAAUUCAAAUUUGGGGAAAGUUGAGUUUGUUCUCCUUAAAUAAAACAGUGUUUUGAUAAUAACCACCGACGUAAGUAUAUCGUAGACACUCGCUUCACUUCCUUCUAGUUAGCACAAGACCUUCCUCCCCUAGUUCUAGUAGUGUGUCUGACCCCUGUUUGCUCAAGUACCAUCACUGCACCGUCUUAUUUAUAA
Molecule: long non-coding RNA, 605 nt
Organism: Zophobas morio
Lineage: Eukaryota; Metazoa; Arthropoda; Insecta; Coleoptera; Tenebrionidae
Exons: 3
Source: RefSeq, a predicted model, not a curated record